CAGCCGCCGCGGGAAUACGUAGGGUGCAAGCGUUGUCCGGAAUCAUUGGGCGUAAAGCGCGCGUAGGUGGCCAUUUAAGUCCGCUGUGAAAGUCAAAGGCUCAACCUUUGAAAGCCGGUGGAUACUGGAUGGCUAGAGUACGGAAGAGGCGAGUGGAGUUCCUGGUGUAGCGGUGGAAUGCGCAGAUAUCAGGAGGAACACCAGUGGCGAAGGCGACUCUCUGGUCUGUAACUGACGCUGAGGAGCGAAAGCGUGGGGAGCGAACAGGAUUAGAUACCCCCGUAGUCCCUGUCUCUUAUAC
Molecule: ribosomal RNA, 301 nt
Filed under: uncultured bacterium
Lineage: Bacteria
Description: partial 16S ribosomal RNA
Rfam family: Bacterial small subunit ribosomal RNA
Source: RNAcentral